This 494-nucleotide ribosomal RNA is filed under the name uncultured bacterium. RNAcentral's name for it is "partial 16S ribosomal RNA". It matches the Rfam family "Bacterial small subunit ribosomal RNA", at positions 28 to 507 of the family's 1533-position model. The record is from RNAcentral.
GACGAACGCUGGCGGCGUGCUUAACACAUGCAAGUCGAACGGUGAAGCGCCUUCCUUUUUGGUGGGUGUGGAUGAGUGGCGAACGGGUGAGUAACACGUGAGUAACCUGCCCCCUUCUUCUGGAUAACCGCAUGAAAGUGUGGCUAAUACGGGAUAUUCUGGGUCUGUCGCAUGAUGGGUCUGGGAAAGAUAUUGUUUCGGUGGGGGAUGGGCUCGCGUCCUAUCAGUUUGUUGGUGGGGUGAUGGCCUACCAAGGCGGUGACGGGUAGCCGGCCUGAGAGGGUGGACGGUCACACUGGGACUGAGACACGGACCAGACUCCGACGGGAGGCAGAAGUGGGGAAUAUUGCACAAUGGGCGCAAGGCUGAUGCAGCGACGCCGCGUGAGGGAUGGAGGCCGUCGGGUUGUGAACCUCUUUCGCCAGUGAAGCAGGCCUGCCUCGUUUGUGGGUGGGUUGACGGUAGCUGGAUAAGAAGCGCCGGCUAACUACGUG